GACAGAGGGUGCAAACGUUUGUUCGGAAUUACUGGGCGUAAAGCGUGUGUAGGCGGCUACGUAAGUCGGAUGUGAAAGCCCCAGGCUCAACCUGGGAAGUGCACUCGAUACUGCGUAGCUUGAGUAUCGGAGAGGUUGGUGGAAUUCUCGGUGUAGAGGUGAAAUUCGUAGAUAUCGAGAGGAACACCGGUGGCGAAGGCGGCCAACUGGACGAAUACUGACGCUGAGACACGAAAGCGUGGGGAGCAAACAGG
Molecule: ribosomal RNA, 254 nt
Filed under: uncultured bacterium
Lineage: Bacteria
Description: partial 16S ribosomal RNA
Rfam family: Bacterial small subunit ribosomal RNA
Source: RNAcentral